UCGAUUAUUUGGUCAGAGUAAGAGGUUAGUGAUCUCAAAUUGCGAGACAUGGUAUUUUUAGAGAUGUUGGGCGUGGAAUCGAUUAGCUAAAUGUUUAAGCGGGACUUAAACUGACGUGAUAGCUAGUUUAUUAUGGGUUUUAAGAAAAUUGGAGGUCCCCAGUGUUAUUCCCCAACUCCAGUCCUAAACUUUAUGUUAAUAAAGAAAUUUAGAAUUAGAAAAUGAGAAAAAAAGGAAGGAAACAAAGUGCCAGCACCUGCGGUUAAACUUUCUCCUUUAGGUAACCUACCCGUGGUUUAGAGAAAAAGAAGAAAUAUUAAAAGAAGAAAACUCAUUACUUUUGGUGGAAUAAAAAUAUGUAAGAAGAAGUUGCUUUAAUCUUAAAAACUUAUAGCUUGAAGCCUGAUACACUAAACCUGGGGUAGAGAUCCAGCUAUUGAAGGUGUCAAAUAAAACUGCGGCGACUACGAGCAAAACGCUUAAAAGUUAAAGGACUUGGCGGUGCAUCAUAUCCUGUUAGGGGAACUUGGCGGUUAAAUCGAUGAUCCCCGUAUUACUUUACCCUCUUUUUUUUCCUAUACCGCCGUUUAGUUUCACCAGGAUGGAGAUGAGUAUGGCGAGUGGUCAUAAAAUGGAAAAAAUUAAUUAAAAUUAAAUAAAUAUCCCAAGUAAUUCAGGUAAACGUGGGGAUUAUAAGAGGGGCUUAGCUGAGUUACAAAUUUUAAAAAGAGCGGAAAUUAAGCUGAAAAGCUUUUAUUGAAGGUGGACUUAAUAGUAAAAUUUUAUAAAAAGGAAAUUUGAAUAGAGUUUUGAUGUGAGUACAAAUCGCCCGGUGCCCCCGUAUAAGAGAAGAUGGGGUAAGCCGUAACAUGGUAGUGCUACUGGAAGGUGGUGCUGUAUA
Molecule: ribosomal RNA, 901 nt
Filed under: Hiatella arctica
Lineage: Eukaryota; Metazoa; Mollusca; Bivalvia; Adapedonta; Hiatellidae
Description: small subunit ribosomal RNA
Source: RNAcentral